CUAACAUUCUAGACAUAAUUAAUUGUUACCGUUGAGAGUAAUUUCAGCAAAUUUUGCUGUAUCUUUUCCCAAGUUUACUUUAAAUGUCAAUAUUAUUUCACAGAGAUAUUAUAAAAAAUUUCCGUCCAUUUUUAUUAUGUGUUGUAAAAUAAUAUGUUUAUUACAUGUACUUUAUUAUUUUUGUAAUGGUUGUAGUGUAAAUUUAUGCAUCAAAUUAUUGCUCUUUAU
RNAcentral lists this long non-coding RNA (228 nucleotides) under Mytilus galloprovincialis (Mediterranean mussel). The record is from RNAcentral. Lineage: Eukaryota; Metazoa; Mollusca; Bivalvia; Mytilida; Mytilidae.